Cyprinus carpio carpio is the source of this 2304-nucleotide long non-coding RNA. NCBI's taxonomy places the organism in Eukaryota, Metazoa, Chordata, Actinopteri, Cypriniformes, Cyprinidae. The record is from Ensembl.
CUUCUCUCUGCGUUGUGUUGAUAUUUUAACCAGACCGGACAACAAGAGAUUCUUUGGACCACUUUUUUUAUUCUGAAUGAAUAAAAAGGAAAAUUUAUGAAAAAAGUUGUCAAUCCGUGGCCUUUCUCCACAAUUUCAACAUUGAUCUGCCAGUCAAAACAGAUAAUUUUAGCCACGGAACUUACACGGUUAAUAAACACCAAAAGAAAAUACAUACUUCAUGUUACCCAACCUCUAUUAGUGUUACAAUAAGAUUAAAUUGUAUUUUUAACAAAAAAAAUACAUAUUAGUCACAAGAAACAAACUAAUUUAAAACUUUUUAGUGAGAGCUCCAGCAGAACUCACCUUUCCCCAGCUGCGCUUACCGCGAACUGAAGGAAAACAACCGGAACCUAACUCUUAAAGGGGCCACGUACUAUAUUUUAACAAUUACAAAAUAACACUGAAAAAUUUACAUACAAGGAUAGAAACAGCUCAAAUAACAUUCCAGAUGAAAGAAAAAUUCCCAGAAUAUAAAAAUAAUUAUAUAAAUAUAAAAUAAUUGAUAAUAACAAAGGGAGGGAUUUUGUGUGAAAUUAAUAAAUUUAUAUAACACCUGUUACAUUUACCUCCCCUAAUUUCACCAAAAUUCUGCAUGUGCACAAAGAGGAUUUCCUAAAGAAUCAAAAUGCAAAAACUCAAUAGUUACAGCAAUGAAAGCCAUCUGUCUUGACAGAUACAGAGAAAUUUGAGGGUGAUCAGGCCCCAAAACCUCUUAGUUAAGUAUGUUGCCAAGUACACCAUACCACACUUAAUCUUUGCAAAAAAAAAAAAUCCUCAUUCACAUUAUUCAUAUAUUAAUCACACUUAAUGAAAAUGUACCCCAAAAAGAAAAAAAUAGAGAGAGUAAACUUCUUUCUCAAUCACAAAAAUUAGAAUAGGCUUAAAAGUGACUGAGACUUUUUCUGGAACCUGUCUGACAAGUUUGCCAUUUUAAAUGGUUUUUGGGCCAUGGUCUCAAUCAGACGGUUGACUUUUUUUACAACUCUACCAGCCCGUGUAGUAAUUGUGCCUUGCGCUUGUUCAGGACCUGACAUUGACACAUCAUCACGGACCGGCAAAUCGGAGUCAGUAAUACCUGAAUUGGUAAAGUCAACUGUUGCCGAUACAAUGUCACAAUCUGAAGUUCCUGCUCUCAGUGUUUUAUCAGAGAGCAUCUGGUGUUGACUGUCUGGAAUGGAAUUAACACAGAUCUUCGUCCUCCAAGGAAUCAGUGGAAUUUGUUGAUCGGCUCUCACAGUCAGAAUCGUUUGAGCAAUCAGCAACUGUAGAUCCACAUGUUUCAUCCUCAGGACAUGUCACUGGUACAGUCAUAAUUUGGGCGCUCCAGAAUGCAGCAAACCCCGGCGACCAAGCUGACGUUGAUCAAAGAGGAUCCACGAUGACUUGCAUCAAGGAAAAGUCACGGCACCAUUGUGACCGGUCUUUAUCUUCUCUCUGCGUUGUGUUGAUAUUUUAACCAGACCGGACAACAAGAGAUUCUUUGGACCACUUUUUUUAUUCUGAAUGAAUAAAAAGGAAAAUUUAUGAAAAAAGUGUCAAUCCGUGGCCUUUCUCCACAAUUUCAACAUUGACCUUUCCCCAGCUGCGCUUACCGCGAACUGCCAUCAUAUUACAAUUAUUAAAUGAACUGCAUAUGAUUAAAUCAACAAUAUUUAACAUUUUUCUCAAUGUAAAACAUUUCACAUGAAUUCAAAACAACAAUAUUAACAGAAACAUGGAUAGAGAACAUACCUGAAUGAAUAAAAAGGAAAAUUUAUGAAAAAAGUGUCAAUCCGUGGCCUUUCUCCACAAUUUCAACAUUGACCUGCCAGUCAAAACAGAUAAUUUUAGCCACGGAACUUACACGGUUAAUAAACACCAAAAGAAAAUACAUACUUCAUGUUACCCAACCUCUAUUAGUGUUACAAUAAGAUUAAAUUGUAUUUUUAACAAAAAAAAUACAUAUUAGUCACAAGAAACAAACUAAUUUAAAACUUUUUAGUGAGAGCUCCAGCAGAACUCACCUUUCCCCAGCUGCGCUUACCGCGAACUGAAGGAAAACAACCGGAACCUAACUCUUAAAGGGGCCACGUACUAUAUUUUAACAAUUACAAAAUAACACUGAAAAAUUUACAUACAAGGAUAGAAACAGCUCAAAUAACAUUCCAGAUGAAAGAAAAAUUCCCAGAAUAUAAAAAUAAUUAUAUAAAUAUAAAAUAAUUGAUAAUAACAAAGGGAGGGAUUUUGUGUGAAAUUAAUAAAUUUAUAUAACACCUGUUACAC